GACGAACGCUGGCGGCGUGCUUAACACAUGCAAGUCGAACGGUGAAGGGAUCAGCUUGCUGGUUCUGGAUGAGUGGCGAACGGGUGAGUAACACGUGAGUAACCUGCCCCCUUCUUCUGGAUAACCGCAUGAAAGUGUGGCUAAUACGGGAUAUUCUGCGCCUGCUGCAUGGUGGGUGUGGGAAAGAUAUUGUUUCGGUGGGGGAUGGGCUCGCGGCCUAUCAGCUUGUUGGUGGGGUGAUGGCCUACCAAGGCGGUGACGGGUAGCCGGCCUGAGAGGGUGGACGGUCACACUGGGACUGAGACACGGCCCAGAGUCCUACGGGAGGCAGCAGUGGGGAAUAUUGCACAAUGGGCGCAAGCAUGAUGCAGCGACGCCGCGUGAGGGAUGGAGGCCUUCGGGUUGUGAACCUCUUUCGCCAGUGAAGCAGGCCUGUCCCGUGUGGGUGGGUUGACGGUAGCUGGAUAAGAAGCGCCGGCUAACUACGUG
RNAcentral lists this ribosomal RNA (489 nucleotides) under uncultured bacterium. RNAcentral's name for it is "partial 16S ribosomal RNA". It matches the Rfam family "Bacterial small subunit ribosomal RNA", at positions 28 to 507 of the family's 1533-position model. The record is from RNAcentral.